AUGCACGCUGGCGGCGUGCUUCACACAUGCCGGUCGAACGGUGAAGGCGGAGCUUGCUCUGCUGGAUCAGUGGCGAACGGGUGAGUAACACGUGAGCAAUCUGCCCCUGACUCUGGGAUAAGCGCUGGAAACGGCGUCUAAUACUGGAUACGAGCUGCGAAGGCAUCUUCAGCAGCUGGAAAGAACUUCGGUCAGGGAUGAGCUCGCGGCCUAUCAGCUUGUUGGUGAGGUAACGGCUCACCAAGGCGUCGACGGGUAGCCGGCCUGAGAGGGUGACCGGCCACACUGGGACUGAGACACGGCCCAGACUCCUACGGGAGGCAGCAGUGGGGAAUAUUGCACAAUGGGCGAAAGCCUGAUGCAGCAACGCCGCGUGAGGGACGACGGCCUUCGGGUUGUAAACCUCUUUUAGCAGGGAAGAAGCGAAAGUGACGGUACCUGCAGAAAAAGCGCCGGCUAACUACGUG
RNAcentral lists this ribosomal RNA (467 nucleotides) under uncultured bacterium. Its description in RNAcentral is "partial 16S ribosomal RNA". It matches the Rfam family "Bacterial small subunit ribosomal RNA", at positions 29 to 507 of the family's 1533-position model. The record is from RNAcentral.